GUGGAUUAGAUACCCUGGUAGUCCACGCCGUAAACGAUGCUAACUCGUUUUUGGAUUUUCGGAUUCAGAGACCAAGCGAAAGUGAUAAGUUAGCCACCUGGGGAGUACGUCCGCAAGGAUGAAACUCAAAGGAAUUGACGGGGGCCCGCACAAGCGGUGGAUUAUGUGGUUUAAUUCGAUGAUACGCGAGGAACCUUACCAAGACUUAAAUGGGAAAUGACAGGUUUGGAAACAGACCCUUCUUCGGACAUUUUUCAAGGUGCUGCAUGGCCGUCGUCAGCU
RNAcentral lists this ribosomal RNA (282 nucleotides) under uncultured bacterium. Its description in RNAcentral is "partial 16S ribosomal RNA". It matches the Rfam family "Bacterial small subunit ribosomal RNA", at positions 773 to 1060 of the family's 1533-position model. The record is from RNAcentral.